RNAcentral lists this ribosomal RNA (384 nucleotides) under Triticum aestivum (bread wheat). RNAcentral's name for it is "partial small subunit ribosomal RNA". The record is from RNAcentral. Lineage: Eukaryota; Viridiplantae; Streptophyta; Magnoliopsida; Poales; Poaceae.
AUGCCCCCAGGCACGUCAGGAGCAAGCGGCGCACGCAGCGACCUCCCUCGAACUGGUAGCAGCGACCGUGGCCAGCACGGCGGACGGCGGCGGACUACAGCCGGUGCCCUGCACGGCGCGACGGCCAGCAAUCGGCGAUGCGACGCAACCUUGGACACAUGGCGUGGCCUCGCCCGUCCCUCCCCUUUUUCCUGGACGCUAACGGCGGUGCCCGCAUCUGCGGUCUUCCUCGGCACGGCCGUCUAUGGCGGCAGCGCUCUCACAGCGCAGGGACGCCCGCUACCAACCAUGGUCGUCGGCCUGGUUCUGCUCGGCGGGAAGGUGGCCUCCCGCAACAGCCAGAGGCGCGCGGCGACUCCCGGCGUCGGUGGUCCUCGGCCCUAG